GCGACCAAUAGCUCAGCGGUCGAGCACUCGCCUCACAAGCGAGAGGACGGUGGUAUGAUCCCACUCGAGCGCA
This 73-nucleotide transfer RNA is filed under the name Phytophthora infestans (potato late blight agent). RNAcentral describes it as "tRNA-Val". The stretch from base 9 to 65 matches the Rfam family "tRNA", at positions 8 to 63 of the family's 71-position model. From Rfam's summary of the family: Transfer RNA (tRNA) molecules are approximately 80 nucleotides in length. Their secondary structure includes four short double-helical elements and three loops (D, anti-codon, and T loops). Further hydrogen bonds mediate the characteristic L-shaped molecular structure. tRNAs have two regions of fundamental functional importance: the anti-codon, which is responsible for specific mRNA codon recognition, and the 3' end, to which the tRNAs corresponding amino acid is attached (by aminoacyl-tRNA synthetases). tRNAs cope with the degeneracy of the genetic code in two manners: having more than one tRNA (with a specific anti-codon) for a particular amino acid; and 'wobble' base-pairing, i.e. permitting non-standard base-pairing at the 3rd anti-codon position. Lineage: Eukaryota; Oomycota; Peronosporomycetes; Peronosporales; Peronosporaceae. The record is from RNAcentral.